Molecule: long non-coding RNA, 379 nt
Filed under: Elaeis guineensis (African oil palm)
Lineage: Eukaryota; Viridiplantae; Streptophyta; Magnoliopsida; Arecales; Arecaceae
Description: long non-coding RNA (EGUI_LNC005236)
Source: RNAcentral
AUUCUUAAAACAUAUAACCAAGAUUAGAGGAACCACCUUAAUUUUUUUUGAAGAUUUCAACAGACUUAAGCUCAGACCCAAAUGCCAUCUAUACAUAACUUUUAAAAUAGAUCCCAAUACCAAAAUUAUGCCUAUAUUAGAGGUCAGCUUAGUCAGCCUAUCCAACUAUCCUAUUAUAAUCAGCCUUCAUACCCACCUCAUCAACAGAUCUCUCUAGCCGAUGAUAGGUUUAGCCAACUUCAAUAAAUAAUUAUGACCUAAUAGCAAUCUAUCAUCAGACUAGAAGCACAAAUAGGCCAGUUAGCUGAGUCUUUCAUGAGAAAAAAAACUAGGUCAAUUGUCUAGCCCACUAAUAUCGAAUUUUAAGAACAACCCACCC